Long non-coding RNA from Chiroxiphia lanceolata (lance-tailed manakin), 130 nucleotides. RefSeq lists it as uncharacterized. The record is from RefSeq and is a predicted model, not a curated record. NCBI's taxonomy places the organism in Eukaryota, Metazoa, Chordata, Aves, Passeriformes, Pipridae. The transcript has 3 exons.
GUUAAGGUUAGCCCAGUGUCCUAGUUAGAACAGCUGGGACUGAUUCAUCGGGCUAUACUGGAUGGGUAUAGCCCGAACUGUGUAUUCUAUAGCCCUCCAUGCCAUUUCCCAGAAACUGUUGUCAGUAGAG